CCUACGGGAGGCAGCAGUGGGGAAUAUUGGACAAUGGAGGCAACUCUGAUCCAGCAAUGCCGCGUGUGUGAUGAAGGCCCUAGGGUUGUAAAGCACUUUCAACGGUGAAGAUGAUGACGGUAGCCGUAGAAGAAGCCCCGGCUAACUUCGUGCCAGCAGCCGCGGUAAUACGAAGGGGGCGAGCGUUAUUCGGAAUUAUUGGGCGUAAAGGGCUCGCAGGCUGCUUGAACAGUUAGACGUGAAAUCCCCGGGCUUAACCUGGGAACUGCGUUUAAUACUAGCAAGCUAGAGAAAUAGAGAGGAAAGUGGAACUCCCAGUGUAGAGGUGAAAUUCGUAGAUAUUGGGAAGAACACCAGUGGCGAAAGCGACUUUCUGGCUAUUUUCUGACGCUGAGGAGCGAAAGCGUGGGGAGCAAACAGGAUUAGAUACCCUGGUAGUCCACGCCGUAAACGAUGUGUGCUAGAUGUUGGAGGGUUACCUUUCAGUGUCGCAGCUAACGCACUAAGCACACCGCCUGGGAAGUACGGUCGCAAGAUUAAAACUCAAAGGAAUUGACGG
This 559-nucleotide ribosomal RNA is filed under the name uncultured bacterium. Its description in RNAcentral is "bacterial SSU rRNA". It matches the Rfam family "Bacterial small subunit ribosomal RNA", at positions 338 to 916 of the family's 1533-position model. The record is from RNAcentral.